UCAACCACAGAGAAACGACAGACAUGUCCAAUGCCGCUGAAUCAACUGUUCUUCGCAUCCCCAAAGAUCGGUGUCAAUACCUCGUGAAUGCACGGCCACUCUUGCAGAGCGAGGUGACUGAAGGAAGAUUGAUCAACUUGACCAUGGAACCUCAACAGGUGAUUACCUCAAACUAUUGUCAUCAGUACACUUCAUUCUUCCACCGUUUCUUGUUCCUGCUUGUCUCCUAGAAAUUAUUCUCUCUAAUCUAUACAAAAACUGAAUACUUCUUAGCUUGCUUGUUUUUGUUCAUGAGCUAACCAUCAGGUAUGUAAUGUUCCAGGAUGGGACAGGAGAGGUUUUACUGAGCACAGAAAAAGAGACGCCAGAUGUCACCGACCUGUCAAGAUGUUCUCGAUUCAUCGAAGAAGCAACUCGAGGCCAAGCAAGUGGCCGAGCAGCGUAUGGGCACGUCCACAUAAUUGGGUCAUCAUCAGCCAUUAUUCACGCACGGGACCUUCUACUCCACUUAUAGUUCCACGUUGGGAGCAUUGCCACCCCUAUUCCAAAGAGAAACUGAGAGAGUUUACCCUGCAACUAUGUAUUUUUGCUAGUAUAAUGUCUGUAAUGUUCCACCCUUCAAUGGUCUUUCUUCUUUAUUCAGUGCCACUGAGAAAGAGUUAAUGAAGUAAUGAGAUUGGCUGGAAGCUUGGACCAUACUGUGGUCAGGCAACUUUGGAAAUUUGCAUCAACUAGCUUUCGUCUGCCAUUAUGCAUGCAGGCUGCUAAUGACAGACCAGUAAUGCUGGACAACAAAUUAUGACCAAUGAAUUCUGGGUGAAACUGGCUGAGCAAAUCCAUACAUCAAGAUAAAGAUCUUAGU
This 862-nucleotide long non-coding RNA is filed under the name Phoenix dactylifera (date palm). RNAcentral describes it as "long non-coding RNA (PDAC_LNC017519)". The record is from RNAcentral. Lineage: Eukaryota; Viridiplantae; Streptophyta; Magnoliopsida; Arecales; Arecaceae.